UAAGGAAUAUUGGACAAUGGCCGCAAGGCUGAUCCAGCCAUGCCGCGUGCAGGAAGACGGACCUAUGGUUUGUAAACUGCUUUUGAACUAGAGAAAACCCCUUUACGUGUAAAGGGCUGAUAGUAUAGUUAGAAUAAGCAUCGGCUAACUUCGUGCCAGCAGCCGCGGUAAGACGAAGGAUGCAAGCGUUAUCCGGAUUCAUUGGGUUUAAAGGGAGCGUAGGCGGACUUGUAAGUCAGUGGUGAAAUCUUUGGGCUUAACCCAGAAACUGCCAUUGAUACUGCAGGUCUAGAGUACAGUUGCCGUUGGCGGAAUAUGACAUGUAGUGGUGAAAUACUUAGAUAUGUCAUAGAACACCGAUUGCGAAGGCAGCUAACGAAGCUGUAACUGACGCUGAGGCUCGAAAGUGCGGGGAUCAAACAGG
Molecule: ribosomal RNA, 424 nt
Filed under: uncultured bacterium
Lineage: Bacteria
Description: bacterial SSU rRNA
Rfam family: Bacterial small subunit ribosomal RNA
Source: RNAcentral